AACAAAAUAUAAGUAAUAUAAUUUGCAUAUAUAAAAUUAUAUUUUCCAUAUGAACAUUAGCUUUGAUAUAUAUUUUUUUUCUGCCGGAAUCGUAUAUUUAAUCUAGUUACUUAAUUGCAACAUCUUAAAAUACGUGCAAAACAAGAUGUUAACCCUUUUGUUUCUUGUACAAAGAAAGUUAUUUUUCUUGAAUUUGAUGGGCAUUACGUAUUUAAGAACUUGUGCACAUUAAAUAUUUUUGGAAUUUAGAAACUUGCUCGGAUAGGUUCAGAAUAUAUAGCUGCGAUAAGUACAAGGGAAUAACAAUUUGUUUAAUUGUAUUUCUAAAUAAUUUCCGAGGGGCAUAUAGUUUUAAUAUUAUUUUAUCUUGGUUUGAGUUAUUGAUCCUAUAAUAUUUGAUAAGCAUUUCUCACACACAUUAGAGUUAAGCAGGUCCAGCGCUGAGAUGCUUGUACCUUAUAAACAUGGAUUCGUCCAUCCAAUCGGCUAAUCAGCUAAUCGGAAAAGUAGCUUUAACAUUUUACCACUAAACAUAUAGCAACACCUAACAUAAUUGUUUAAGCAAUGCUCCAAUUGCAUGGAAAUGGAACCAAGGAGUCCUUAAUUCGAAAAUCAGCUCAUUUAGCUACUUGGAUUCAAGCUCGUCUUUGAGUGUGCGCAGUUCUGUAAGUCCUUCCUGCCAUAAAAAGUUCAAGUGCCGGUGGUGCAUUGUUUAAAUGUUGUUUCACAUUUCGGAUAUUCAGAAACGGGUUGAUGCAGAUCGAUAGAUGAGCGAAACAGCGCUCAGGAUUAUGCAGUUCACAGCUGUUGGCCAGCUGAGAUUUGGGGCUGAGCUCGGAGGCGGGCUGGUUGGCGGUAGGCCAAGCUUGAUGGUAAUCUGGCGGGUCACAUUAGCCGGCAUCACGUUACAUUCGAACUUGUGGCCAGUUGCGUUGGCCAGCGGCACAUUCAGGACGAACUGGUUGUCCAGACUGUAGAUGUUGAUGAUCGACAGGUUGCCAUUCAUGACGAGCUGCUUGUCCCGGUACCAGAGUAUCGCAUGGUGUAUGGCUGAAAGCAUAUGGAGCACGAUAUUUGGCAAUUAAUGCCCAGCUGGGACACACCCCAAGUGUCUUAAAUUUACCAUCAUAGUUCUUAACCGGGCAAUCGAGCUUCACAUUUGUUGCAUUGGGCUGGACAUAGACGACUGCCGUCUUCUGAUCGAAGUAUGGCACCAUUGGAACUGCAGUCGAUUUGGCCAAAUUGCCAGGGGAGCGCGAGGCGUCAUCAUCAUCGUAGACAUUCUCAUAAUCGGGGCUUGUCUCGCCGGCGGCGUGUGCUGAGGAGUACACACAUACAUUAUAGAAUAGGAUGGAUAGGUUAAUAUAUAUGUAUAUAUAUUGACUGAGCUGGGCGAGGCAAGGUCAACAACAGUAGCCAGCACACCUGGAUAACGUAAUUAAGGCCCAAUUAUGCACUGAAUACCCACUCUAUGCUGACUGACCACACUCUACAGAUUUUCGUGCCGUGCGAUAAUCGAGCUUAUCCGAAAAUCGGCUAGGCCGAAGCUUAGAUUCUCUAGCCGAAACCCUGACCCACGCCCAACUGGCGACGACAGCAUAAAACCAUUAGGAAAAGGGCGCAGCCCAGGUGGCACGGUGUCAACGCCCAUUUGGAUGACUAGCACGGCACAUGCUCAUAUUCCACGAGUCUUCACAUGCCAUGCCAGCUCCUCGAGGUCAUUAUAAGUUUAUGGCAUAUCAGCUUCAGCACACGGGAAUUGUCAGUGAAGCGUUUUCGGGAUUUGGACACGGACACGGACACCAUAUACUUGUAUAUUGAUUUAUGUCAAGGCUUCCCACACAACUAUUCACAAUAUAAUGGUGGGGAUAUGUAUUCGAAUUGCUUGCGUCAUUUGCACGUCCUGAAAUUGGCAACCUACCCACACACACACACACACACACACACACUCAGCGUGCGGUAAGUUAUUUAUCCUGUUUAUUAACACACAUCGAAUAUCGAGCGUUUAUGUAUCUAGGACUUGUGAUAGUCAAACUCAAAUAGGUCACAGUUCCAGCAGCUAACCAUGUCUGUGGCUCGAUUUAUUUAUAAGAUCUAUUUAUUGAACACUAGCCCACGUCAAACAGAGUAUGACAAAGAAUUCAAGAGGGUUAAAAGCUCAACAAUUGUUUUCUUAUCAUUUUCAAUAGAACAAUUAAAUAUGCUUUAAAUUAGA
Drosophila montana is the source of this 2215-nucleotide long non-coding RNA. RefSeq lists it as uncharacterized. The transcript is spliced from 2 exons. The record is from RefSeq and is a predicted model, not a curated record. Lineage: Eukaryota; Metazoa; Arthropoda; Insecta; Diptera; Drosophilidae.